GACUGCAGACAGUAGCUCGUGCGUUUCCACGAUGAAGCCUGCAGUUUUGGUGUGUGCGUGCGUGCGUGAGUGAGUGUGUAUGCGCGCUCGCGCAGAUGGAGCGGGUUCUUUCAGUCUGUCUAGUUCGCAGGAUAGCGGCACUCAUGGGUACUCACAGAAGCACCGUAGCGAUUUCUACCACCGUUUAGCACCACAGAAGGUGCGACAUUUAUUCCGGGCACGUACCUGCCAGCGGACAGUCCUGAAGCCCCCAGGAAUCUCGCGCUCUAGUAGAGAGAGCGGAGCGCGCGCGCGGCACGGACCGCAGUGGAAUGUAGCGGGGAUUCCCGGCGCGCGGGGCAAGAGCUGUCAGUCAUUCAUCAACACCACAAGAAAACACCUGAGUAGGUGGAGCAUGCCUAGUGGGAGCGGGUGGCAUUACUAUGCCUGAAGGCACGUGGCGAUGGUGUCCAUGGAGACAGAUGGCAGCUUCACCGGGGGCCACGGUCUGUCCCUCUUACAGGCUGAAGAUGGCGUGGGGGCCGGGCUCGCACAGCAAGAGGGCUCGUGGCUCGGCUUCCGUGCGACUGUGAGUGCUGUGCUGCUGCUGGAGCUGCUCCUCGGGGUGGGCGGCAAUCUGACCGUGCUGGUGUUAUACUGUGGUCACUGCAGCCUGCUGGAGUCUGUCAGCCAUGCGGUCACUCUCAGCCUGCACACCCUUGACCUGCUGCUCUGUCUCCUCUGCCUACCCAUCACUGCCACGCUCCUCAUACUGGGUGGAGCCUCGGUUCCGCACCACGCCCUCCUCUGCUGUCUCCACGAAUCAGCAGCCAGCUUCGCCAGCGUGGGCACAGCACUCAACCUGCUGCUUAUCAGUUUAGAUCGCUAUGACAUCAGCGUCCGACCAGCCAAUCGCCUGCUGAC
Non-coding RNA from Danio rerio (zebrafish), 903 nucleotides. The record is from Ensembl. Lineage: Eukaryota; Metazoa; Chordata; Actinopteri; Cypriniformes; Danionidae.